RNAcentral lists this ribosomal RNA (425 nucleotides) under uncultured bacterium. RNAcentral's name for it is "partial 16S ribosomal RNA". It matches the Rfam family "Bacterial small subunit ribosomal RNA", at positions 354 to 796 of the family's 1533-position model. The record is from RNAcentral.
GUGGGGAAUAUUGGACAAUGGGCGAAAGCCUGAUCCAGCAAUGCCGCGUGAGUGAUGAAGGCCCUAGGAUUGUAAAAUUCUUUCACCGGGGACGAUAAUGACGGUACCCGGAGAAGAAGCUCCGGCUAACUUCGUGCCAGCAGCCGCGGUAAUACGAAGGGGGCUAGCGUUGCUCGGAAUUACUGGGCGUAAAGGGCGCGUAGGCGGUUUAUCAAGUCAGGGGUGAAAUCCCGGGGCUCAACCCCGGAACUGCCCUUGAAACUGGUUCACUAGAAUCCUGGAGAGGCGAGUGGAAUUCCGAGUGUAGAGGUGAAAUUCGUAGAUAUUCGGAAGAACACCAGUGGCGAAGGCGACUCGCUGGACAGGUAUUGACGCUGAGGUGCGAAAGCGUGGGGAGCAAACAGGAUUAGAAACCCUGGUAGUCC